RNAcentral lists this ribosomal RNA (375 nucleotides) under uncultured bacterium. RNAcentral's name for it is "bacterial SSU rRNA". It matches the Rfam family "Bacterial small subunit ribosomal RNA", at positions 524 to 898 of the family's 1533-position model. The record is from RNAcentral.
UACGUAGGUGGCAAGCGUUGUCCGGAUUUACUGGGUGUAAAGGGUGCGCAGGCGGGACAGUAAGUUGGGUGUGAAAUGCCGGGGCUCAACCCCGGACCUGCAUCCAAAACUGCAGUUCUUGAGUGAAGUAGAGGUAGGCGGAAUUCCGAGUGUAGCGGUGAAAUGCGUAGAUAUUCGGAGGAACACCAGUGGCGAAGGCGGCCUACUGGGCUUUAACUGACGCUGAGGCACGAAAGCAUGGGGAGCAAACAGGAUUAGAUACCCUGGUAGUCCAUGCCGUAAACGAUGAUUGCUAGGUGUGGGGGGACUGACCCCUUCCGUGCCGGAGUUAACACAAUAAGCAAUCCACCUGGGGAGUACGACCGCAAGGUUGAA